ACCUGCGAGCAGGCCCAGCUCUUGGCCAACCUGGCGCGGCUCAUCCAGGCCAAGAAGGCGCUGGACCUGGGCACCUUCACGGGCUACUCCGCCCUGGCCCUGGCCCUGGCGCUGCCCGCGGACGGGCGCGUGGUGACCUGCGAGGUGGACGCGCAGCCCCCGGAGCUGGGACGGCCCCUGUGGAGGCAGGCCGAGGCGGAGCACAAGAUCGACCUCCGGCUGAAGCCCGCCUUGGAGACCCUGGACGAGCUGCUGGCGGCGGGCGAGGCCGGCACCUUCGACGUGGCCGUGGUGGAUGCGGACAAGGAGAACUGCUCCGCCUACUACGAGCGCUGCCUGCAGCUGCUGCGACCCGGAGGCAUCCUCGCCGUCCUCAGAGUAAGGGAUCCACUGCGGGGGAGGAGAAAGCACCCUGUCGGGCCGGGUCCCCAUCUUUUCCCUUGACUCCUCUUAUACCCCAAAGCCCCACCCAGUCCAGUCACGUAGGCUACACCCCCUCCGGGGCUCCGGCCCCGGUACCCAGGCUUUCCUCCGCUUUGGUUCUGUCUCCAGCUCUGGUCAC
This 562-nucleotide long non-coding RNA is filed under the name Homo sapiens (human). RNAcentral's name for it is "non-protein coding lnc-COMTD1-6:3". Lineage: Eukaryota; Metazoa; Chordata; Mammalia; Primates; Hominidae. The record is from RNAcentral.